UACGUAGGGGGCAAGCGUUGUCCGGAAUCAUUGGGCGUAAAGAGCGUGUAGGCGGCCAGAUAAGUCCGCUGUGAAAUCUCGAGGCUCAACUUCGAGCUGUCGGUGGAAACUGUCUGGCUAGAGUCCGGUAGGGGAGCGUGGAAUUCCUGGUGUAGCGGUGAAAUGCGCAGAUAUCGGGAGGAACACCAGUGGCGAAGGCGGUACUCUGGGCCGGAACUGACGCUGAGGAGCGAAAGCGUGGGUAGCGAACAGG
RNAcentral lists this ribosomal RNA (253 nucleotides) under uncultured bacterium. Its description in RNAcentral is "partial 16S ribosomal RNA". It matches the Rfam family "Bacterial small subunit ribosomal RNA", at positions 524 to 776 of the family's 1533-position model. The record is from RNAcentral.